GACGAACGCUGGCGGCGGGCCUAACACAUGCAAGUCGCAGGAGAACCGGGUCUUCGGACCCGGGGAGACUGGCGGAUGGGUGAGUAACGCGUAGACAACCUGCCCAUAACCAGGGGAUAA
This 120-nucleotide ribosomal RNA is filed under the name uncultured bacterium. RNAcentral describes it as "partial 16S ribosomal RNA". It matches the Rfam family "Bacterial small subunit ribosomal RNA", at positions 28 to 146 of the family's 1533-position model. The record is from RNAcentral.